AGCGAACGCUGGCGGCAGGCCUAACACAUGCAAGUCGAACGAACUCUUCGGAGUUAGUGGCGGACGUGUGAGUAACACGUGGGAACGUGCCCUUAGGUUCGGUAUAACUCAGGGAAACUUGUGCUAAUACCGAAUGUGCUCUUCGGGGGAAAGAUUUAGGGCCUUUAGGGGGGCCCGGGUCUGAUUCGCUAGUUGGAGAGGUAAAGGCUCACUAUGGCGGGGAUCAGGAGCUGGUGUGAGAGGAAGCUCAGGCGCAUUGGGACAGCGACACGGCCCAAACGCGUACGAGCGGCGGCAGAGGGGAAGCUAGCGCAGGAAGCGAGAGCCUGACGCGGCGAGGCCGCGAGAAUGACGAAGGGGUUAGGAUUGUAAAAUGCUUGCACCGGAGACGGUAAGAACGGAACCCGUAGAGGAAGCCCCGGCUAACAUCGU
RNAcentral lists this ribosomal RNA (432 nucleotides) under uncultured bacterium. RNAcentral describes it as "partial 16S ribosomal RNA". It matches the Rfam family "Bacterial small subunit ribosomal RNA", at positions 30 to 506 of the family's 1533-position model. The record is from RNAcentral.